Molecule: long non-coding RNA, 632 nt
Filed under: Homo sapiens (human)
Lineage: Eukaryota; Metazoa; Chordata; Mammalia; Primates; Hominidae
Description: non-protein coding PCAT1:66
Source: RNAcentral
GUCCAAGGUAGCCUGCUGGAUGGUGAGAGACACUUGCCUCAGUUUCUUGGUCAUCCUAGCCUACAAUCAGCUGUUUUCAGAAACAGAGUUGCCUAGCUGACCUGCAAUUGACCAUGGAUGCACGAGUGAGCCCAGCUGAGCUUAACGCACUCAAUGGAUUGGAUAAUGCCUGCCCACAUUAGUGAGAGUGGAUAUUUUUACUCAGCCUACUGAUUCAAAUGCUAGUCUCUUCUGGAAACAUCCUCACAGACACACUCAGAAAUAAUGUUUUACCAGCUAUCUAGCCAUCCCUUAACCCAGUCAAGUUGACACAUAAAAUUAACCAUUACACCCUCCAAAAUAUUCUUAUUUUGAAAUUCUCGCCCCCAGUACUUCAGAAUGUGAUCUUAUUCUUUAAAAGGAUCCUUGCAGAUGUAAUGAAGUUAAGAUAAGCUCAUUAGGGUGGGCUGUAAUCUAAUAUGGCUGGUAUCCUUAUAAGAAGGCACGUAGACACACAAAGAGAAGAUGGGUGUAUGACACAGGACACAGAGAUUGAAGCGUAACAGUUGCAAGCCAAGGAUUGUCAAGGAUUUCCAGCAAGCAACCAGAAGCUAGGAAGAACCAAGGAGGGAUCUCCCCACAUGAGCCUUCAG